AAACAAAUCAGACCAGAUUUAGUUGCAAGCAAAUAAAUAGUAUUUGCAGGUAUACAAACAUAAAUUCCAUCAUCUAUUACAGGAGCCGUACAAUCAUUUCGCAGCGACUGGCUCAAAUUGCUAAAUGUAGUUCUUUGAAGACUAGGAUUUAUAGAUCUUGAGCAAGGAAAUAAAAGGUAUGCUAUUUACUCAACCUCAUUCGACUUUAAAUGUUAAUGCUGUGACAAAGAAACAGAUACCUGAAAAGCUUUAUGCUAACUGAUCAAUCAGUCCUAUUGGUGGUCGAAGAUCUUAUCUAGUUUAUUUCGAGCAGCCUGUAUAGCUUAGUUGUAUACUCAAUAAUAACACACACACACAGAGAGAGAGAGAGAGAGAGAGAGAGGAAGAACCCCAGAUUUUUGUAGAGUGCCAGUGGGAUCACAUGUUGCUAGCCAACCAACUCGCCAGCCAGGAACAGCCCAUUUCUUAGAUAAAGAACCCAGAGUGAUAACAGGGACAAUCGAUCCAAAAGAAGCCAUUGGAAUGAAUGGAUUGUCCCCAAAAGUGAGAUGCUCGUAAACUUCAUCAGUAAUCACCAAAAUUCCAAGCUUUUGUGCAGUCUCUGCUAUCUAAUAUUCAACAAAACCAGCAACUAAUGUCAGAACUACAUUAAUGGAAGCAUAUACUGCUAUGAUAUCUACCAAAGCAGCCUGAUCAUUCUAACUACAAAGUUGGCUGGCUAUCAUCACAUCCCUAUCAUUUAAUACGGGUGUUGCUGACACCCAAAAUACUUGUAAUAACAACAUUACUUGGGUAUUAACCAGUUCCCAACUCUGAUUAGAUACAGAAAUUAAGAUAAAGGAAAAACACCUUCUUCAAAUGCUCAAACGAGAAAACAUUCCCACAUGGAUUUCCUGGAUUAAUGAUAACUAUAGCAGCAGUAUUUUCAUCAGCAAGGGCUUCGAGAGAAUCGAGAUCCACCUCCCAACCCUUGUCAGGAAGAAGAUCGUAAUGGCGAAAGUCAAGUUGGCUAAAUAAGCAGCGAGCUUCAUAGUUUGGGAAACCUGGUCUUGGAAGCAAAACGUUUGCACCAGGACUUGCAAGAACUGCCACUAUCACUUCCAUUGCUUGCGCACUUCCCACAGUAAUAUAAACAUCAUCAGGUGAUAACUUGUAGGGAAGGUCUAGGGAAAGAUAUUCAGCAACUGCCCUGCUUAUCAAUGACACAAACAAAAUCAAGAAUCAGACAAGUCACUAAACAAGUAAGCGAGUGAACUAGUAGCUCAGGGAUGGAAUGUCAGCUUCUUGUAAACAAUCAAGACUCGAACAAAUUUUCAUCCUCCCAAUUUCUCAUCCAGAUUGUUCUAAAAAGUUUAAUAUAAUUAAGAAGUGAGAAAACAUAUAUACCUUCUUGCAGGAAGAAUACCGAUACAAGAAGAAUAAGUAUUGAACUGGGCAGAUUGAAGGGCAUCAACCACAGCACUUUCAGCUUUAAGACUGGUCCUAAACGACGGAAAGGCAGCAGGAUCACCAUGG
Molecule: long non-coding RNA, 1515 nt
Filed under: Ricinus communis (castor bean)
Lineage: Eukaryota; Viridiplantae; Streptophyta; Magnoliopsida; Malpighiales; Euphorbiaceae
Description: long non-coding RNA (RCOM_LNC000921)
Source: RNAcentral